UAAUUCUAAAAGGAUCGCCGAUAUUGUCUCCGAGACGGCAAAGCGGUCCAAGGAGUUUGCCGCCGAGGCCAAAGCCAUUGCUGACCACCGCAUUAAGUCCCUUACUGAGCAGAUCCCCUCCAUCACUCUUCUCAAUGCCUCAUCGCCUUUCUCCGAUGAUCCAAUUCCCGUAGAUCUUGAGAUAUUCGGUAUCACCGACGAUCUGAGACAGUUCGCUCGAGGUUCCACGGUCACAGCGUUUCGGAAUUUCCCCAUUCAUGAUGAUUCUAUAGUUUUUGAUGUGCCAACAGUAUUAAAUGAGAGGCAGAGUGGUAGCAGAAACAUGCAUUGAUCCUUGACAAGGACCUUAAUUUCAAAGGAAUUGAUCAUCUUGGCUAUCUUCGUCAAGCAUUUGAAGUUGGAUCCUUCAAUUAUUUUCUUGAAAGUGAGAUACUAAAUGGUUCUGAAUUUGAUGGGCACUGGUGGCUCCUGCAGGUUAAAAAUUCUGGCUUGGAUAGGCACAUUGAAACUAACUUAUGG
Impatiens glandulifera is the source of this 519-nucleotide long non-coding RNA. RefSeq lists it as uncharacterized. The transcript is spliced from 4 exons. The record is from RefSeq and is a predicted model, not a curated record. Lineage: Eukaryota; Viridiplantae; Streptophyta; Magnoliopsida; Ericales; Balsaminaceae.